GGUGACCCUCAAGAGGAUAAGACUGACAUCUUUGACUUUCCCAUCCCUUCAAGAAACAUUGAUAAAACCAUUAAACGAAAGAAGAAAAAGUGCAAAGUCUGGCACAAGGUCUGGAAAGUGAUUUCAAAAAUGCUUGAGGAAAAUGAAAGGCUCAGAAGUCGACUGUUGAUCUGCAGCCAGUUAGAUGGAGGAGGUAGGAAAUGAAAUGCUAAUAUUUUAUUU
This 222-nucleotide long non-coding RNA is filed under the name Lonchura striata (white-rumped munia). RNAcentral's name for it is "domestica (Bengalese finch) lncRNA (ENSLSDG00000015819.1)". The record is from RNAcentral. Lineage: Eukaryota; Metazoa; Chordata; Aves; Passeriformes; Estrildidae.